GCCGGGCACAGUGGCGUAUGCCUGUAAUCCCAAUGGUUUGGAAGGCUGAGACAGGAGAAUCUAGAGUUCAAAGCCAGCCUCAGCAAUGGUGAGACGCUAAGCAACUCAGUGAUAACCCUGUCUCUA
Molecule: small RNA, 126 nt
Filed under: Marmota monax (woodchuck)
Lineage: Eukaryota; Metazoa; Chordata; Mammalia; Rodentia; Sciuridae
Source: RNAcentral